RNAcentral lists this transfer RNA (72 nucleotides) under Candidatus Obscuribacterales bacterium. RNAcentral describes it as "tRNA-Ser". Lineage: Bacteria; Bacillati; Candidatus Melainabacteria; Candidatus Obscuribacterales. The record is from RNAcentral.
CCCCCCAUAUUCCUAGCGGUCCAAGGAGCUCCGGCGAUGUGAGACACGUGGGUUCGAAUCCCACUGGGGGGA